GUGUUGGCUGAUGUUUCAUUCAAAUUUCUUGCCCUAUCAACUUUCUGAUGGUAGGAUAGAUGUGCCUACCAUGGUUUUAACUGGGUAACGGGGAAUUAGGGUUCUGAUUCCUGGAGAGGGAGCCUGAGAAACUGGCUACCACAUCCAAUGGAAUGGCAUGCAUGGCUGCGCAAAUUACCCAAUCCCUGAUACUGGGGAGGUAGUGACAAUAAAUAACAAUACAUGUGGCUUUCUAGUCUUGUAAUUUGGAAUGAGUACAAUUUAAAUCCCUUAACUGAUGGAACAAUUGGAUGGGCAAGUCUGGUGCCAGCAGGCCUGCGGUAAUUCCAUGCUCCAAUAGCGUAUAUUAAAGUUUGUUUGCAGUUAAAAAUGCUCGUAGUUUGAAUUUUAGGCCUGGUUUGGACGGUCUGCCCUUGGUUUUGUACUUGUCCUGACUGGGUCUUACCUUCUGGUGAGCUUGUCGUGUUGUUUACUCAGUUGCGGGCGGGGGAACCAGGGACUUUUACUUUGAAAAAAUUUAGAGUGUAAAUGCAGGCAUUCGUUGAUACCUUAGCAUGGAAUAAUAGAAUAGGGACUUUUGGGUCUAAUUUGGUGGGUUCCUAGGACCGGACGUAAUUGGUUUAAUAGGGAUAGGUUGGGGGCAUUAG
RNAcentral lists this ribosomal RNA (647 nucleotides) under uncultured fungus. RNAcentral's name for it is "bacterial SSU rRNA". It matches the Rfam family "Eukaryotic small subunit ribosomal RNA", at positions 280 to 894 of the family's 1831-position model. Lineage: Eukaryota; Fungi. The record is from RNAcentral.